UUUUUUUUUUUUUUUUUUUUUUUUUUUUGAGACGAAAUUCGGCUCUUGUUGCCCAGGCUGGAGUACAAUGGCGUGAUCUCAGCUCACCACAACCUCCACCUCCCAGGUUCAAGCAAUUCUCCUGCCUCAGCCUCCUAAGUAGUUGGGAUUACAGGCAUGCGCCACCACGCCCAACUAAUUUUGUGUUUUUCGUAGAGAUGGAGUUUCUCCAUGUUGGUCAGGCUGGUUUCGACCUCAGGUGAUCCCCCUGCCUCAGCCUCUCAAAGUUCUGGGAUUACAGGCAUGAGCCACAGAGCCCAGCCCAUUCCUUCCCUUCUUUAGGGCUUUUUCCCCCUGCCAUCACAAAAGAGGCUGGCCUGGAUGAAAGCCCUUCCAGUUUGGCUUUUUUGGAGUCCAACAGCCAACACCUUUGGAACAUGCCAUGGUCACCCUCACCACCUGGCCUUAACAUCUGCUAUGCCCUCCACCAGGACCACUGUUCCCCACUGUGUUCACAUGGUGCAUUUCUUCAUUCGGGUCUUCACUACUCAGCAGAGCCUCUCCUUUCCACCCAACCUAAAGUCACAUGCAUAUACACAGCCCUGAUACUCUUUUUCCCUAAACAUUGAUCAUUACCUGAUCUCAUACUGCACGUUUAUUAGUAUCUUGUCUUUAUGCCAGCCCCCGCCACCAAUAGAAUAUAAGCCCUAUAAUGGCAGGGAUCUUCUCCAACCUGUUCAACAUGGCACCCCAGUGCCUAACAUAGAGCUGGGCACCUAGUAGCUACUUGAUGUAUUUUGGAAGGAAAAGAGGGAAGGAGGGAAGAAGGAAAGAAGGAGUGGGGAAGGAGGGAGAAAGGGAGGAGGGUUUUACCUAGCUGUAUGAAUUUAGCCUAAGAUAAUGUAAAAUGCCAACCAAUAUGUAUGGUUGGCCAGCUCUGCCCAGGUAUGGUGCUAAACCCAGGUGAUCUGAAGGUGAACCUGAUACCCCAGCCUUCUUUUUGAUCUUACAUCUUCUAAGGAGAUGCAAGUUAGCAUUUAACCUACAUAGUAAACCAGGACUGUGGUCUGUGAGGGGAGAAGGAGAACAGGGCUCUAUGUGAUUAGGAGACAGAGGACAGGAGGCAGGGAGGGGUCAGAGGAGGGCUUCUCAGUGGAGGUGAUGUAGGCCCUGAGUGGUCACUUAGGGUUUGGGGAGGAGGCUGAUGGGGCUGGUGGGAUUGGCUCCUGGUGUGGACCAUGGCAGUGCAGGGACAGGGCUCAGCCUCCCAGCUGUGGCCUUUGCUAUCAUUUCCUGUGGGAAUGCUUUCUCCUUAGCUACCCACCCUAGGGC
This 1311-nucleotide long non-coding RNA is filed under the name Macaca fascicularis (crab-eating macaque). RNAcentral's name for it is "lncRNA (ENSMFAG00000050059.1)". The record is from RNAcentral. Lineage: Eukaryota; Metazoa; Chordata; Mammalia; Primates; Cercopithecidae.